CCUUAACGCGAAGAACCUUACCAAGACUUGACAUUGUAUGACAGGUGUGGAAACACACCCUUCUUCGGACAUAUAAACAGGUGGUGCAUGGUUGUCGUCAGCUCGUGUCGUGAGAUGUUGGGUUAAGUCCCGCAACGAGCGCAACCCUUGUGAACAGUUGCCAAUAUUAAGUUAGGAACUCUGUUCAGACUGCCGUGGACAACACGGAGGAAGGUGGGGAUGACGUCAAAUCAGCAUGCCCCUUACGUCUUGGGCUAGACACGUGCUACAAUGGCUGCUACAAAGAGUCGCGAGCCGGUAACGGUAAGCCAAUCUCAAAAAAGCAGUCUCAGUUCGGAUUGUGGGCUGAAACCCGUCCACAUGAAGUUGGAGUUGCUAGUAAUCCCGAAUCAGCAUGUCGGGGUGAAUGCGUUC
Molecule: ribosomal RNA, 414 nt
Filed under: uncultured bacterium
Lineage: Bacteria
Description: bacterial SSU rRNA
Rfam family: Bacterial small subunit ribosomal RNA
Source: RNAcentral